RNAcentral lists this ribosomal RNA (1009 nucleotides) under Rothia sp. (in: high G+C Gram-positive bacteria). RNAcentral describes it as "bacterial SSU rRNA". It matches the Rfam family "Bacterial small subunit ribosomal RNA", at positions 75 to 1120 of the family's 1533-position model. The record is from RNAcentral. Lineage: Bacteria; Bacillati; Actinomycetota; Actinomycetes; Micrococcales; Micrococcaceae.
CCAGCUUGCUGGGCGGAUUAGUGGCGAACGGGUGAGUAAUACGUGAGUAACCUGCCUUUAACUCUGGGAUAAGCCUUGGAAACGGGGUCUAAUACCGGAUACGACCAACCCUCGCAUGAGGUGUUGGUGGAAAGGGAUUUUGUACUGGUUUUAGAUGGGCUCACGGCCUAUCAGCUUGUUGGUGAGGUAACGGCUCACCAAGGCGACGACGGGUAGCCGGCCUGAGAGGGUGACCGGCCACACUGGGACUGAGACACGGCCCAGACUCCUACGGGAGGCAGCAGUGGGGAAUAUUGCACAAUGGGCGCAAGCCUGAUGCAGCGACGCCGCGUGAGGGAUGACGGCCUUCGGGUUGUAAACCUCUUUCAGCAGGGGAGAAGCGAAAGUGACGGUACCUGCAGAAGAAGCGCCGGCUAACUACGUGCCAGCAGCCGCGGUAAUACGUAGGGCGCGAGCGUUGUCCGGAAUUAUUGGGCGUAAAGAGCUUGUAGGCGGUUUGUCGCGUCUGCUGUGAAAGCCCGGGGCUUAACCCCGGGUUUGCAGUGGGUACGGGCAGACUAGAGUGCAGUAGGGGAGACUGGAAUUCCUGGUGUAGCGGUGAAAUGCGCAGAUAUCAGGAGGAACACCAAUGGCGAAGGCAGGUCUCUGGGCUGUAACUGACGCUGAGAAGCGAAAGCAUGGGGAGCAAACAGGAUUAGAUACCCUGGUAGUCCAUGCCGUAAACGUUGGCACUAGGUGUGGGGAAAUUCCACGUUUCCGCGCCGUAGCUAACCAUUAAGUGCCCGCCUGGGGAGUACGGCCGCAGGGCUAUACUCAAAAAAUUGACGGGGGCCGCACAACGGCGGAGCUGCGGAUUAUUCGAUGCACGCGAAGACCUUACCAGGCUUGACUAUACUAGACGCCUCAGAGAUGGGGUUCCCUCCGGGCUGGAUACGGUGGUGCAUGGUGUCUCAGCUCUGUCUUGAAAGUUGGGUUAAUCCCGCACCAGCGCAACCUCGUUUAUUUUCCA